This 463-nucleotide ribosomal RNA is filed under the name uncultured bacterium. RNAcentral describes it as "partial 16S ribosomal RNA". It matches the Rfam family "Bacterial small subunit ribosomal RNA", at positions 899 to 1397 of the family's 1533-position model. The record is from RNAcentral.
ACUCAAAGGAAUUGACGGGGGCUCACACAAGCGGUGGAGCAUGUGGUUCAAUUCGAAGCAACGCGAAGAACCUUACCCGGGUUUGAAAUCCACGGAUGGGUCCGACGAAAGUUGGAUACCCUGCCUCGUGUCGUGAGAUGUCGGGUUAAGUCCCUCAACGAGCGAAACCCUUGUCUCUAGUUGCCAACGGUUCGGCCGGGGACUCUAGAGAGACUGCCGUUGUGAAAACGGAGGAAGGUGGGGAUGACGUCAAGUCAUCAUGGCCUUUAUGUCCGGGGCUACACACGUGCUACAAUGGCCGGUACAAAGGGACGCUAAGCCGCGAGGUAGAGCAAAACCCAAAAAACCGGCCCCAGUUCAGAUUGGAGGCUGCAACUCGCCUCCAUGAAGAUGGAAUCGCUAGUAAUCGCGGAUCAGCUACGCCGCGGUGAAUAUGUUCCUGGGCCUUGUACACACCGCCCGU